This 392-nucleotide ribosomal RNA is filed under the name uncultured bacterium. RNAcentral describes it as "partial 16S ribosomal RNA". It matches the Rfam family "Bacterial small subunit ribosomal RNA", at positions 523 to 918 of the family's 1533-position model. The record is from RNAcentral.
AUACGGAGGAUCCGAGCGUUAUCCGGAUUUAUUGGGUUUAAAGGGUGCGCAGGCGGCCAUUUAAGUCAGCGGUUAAAUCGUGGGGCUCAACCCCAUUCUGCCGUUGAUACUGGGUGGCUUGAUUGCGGUCGAGGUUGGCGGAAUUCGUUGUGGAGCGGGUAAAUGCAUAGAUAUGACGAAGAACACCGAUUGCGUAGGCAGCUGACCAGACCGCAAAUGAGGCUCAUGCACGAAAGUGCGGGGAUCGAACAGGAUUAGAUACCCUGGUAGUCCGCACAGUAAACGAUGAAUACUUGUUUUCGGCGAUAUAAUGUCGGAGGCAAAGCGAAAGCGAUAAGUAUUCCACCUGGGGAGUACGCCGGCAACGGUGAAACUCAAAGGAAUUGACGGGG